Molecule: ribosomal RNA, 594 nt
Filed under: uncultured Bacteroidota bacterium
Lineage: Bacteria; Pseudomonadati; Bacteroidota
Description: bacterial SSU rRNA
Rfam family: Bacterial small subunit ribosomal RNA
Source: RNAcentral
CAACCUGCCGAUGACUCGGGGAUAGCCUUUCGAAAGAAAGAUCAAUACCCGAUGGCAUAGUUCUUCCNCAUGGUAGAACUAUUAAAGAAUUUCGGUCAUCGAUGGGGAUGCGUUCCAUUAGGUUGUUGGCGGGGUAACGGCCCACCAAGCCUUCGAUGGAUAGGGGUUCUGAGAGGAAGGUCCCCCACAUUGGAACUGAGACACGGUCCAAACUCCUACGGGAGGCAGCAGUGAGGAAUAUUGGCCAAUGGACGAGAGUCUGAACCAGCCAAGUAGCGUGAAGGAUGACUGCCCUAUGGGUUGUAAACUUCUUUUAUACGGGAAUAAAGUGAGGCACGUGUGCCUUUUUGUAUGUACCGUAUGAAUAAGGAUCGGCUAACUCCGUGCCAGCAGCCGCGGUAAUACGGAGGAUCCGAGCGUUAUCCGGAUUUAUUGGGUUUAAAGGGAGCGUAGGCGGACGCUUAAGUCAGUUGUGAAAGUUUGCGGCUCAACCGUAAAAUUGCAGUUGAUACUGGGUGUCUUGAGUACAGUAGAGGCAGGCGGAAUUCGUGGUGUAGCGGUGAAAUGCUUAGAUAUCACGAAGAACUCCGAUUG